GGCGGCAGGCCUAACACAUGCAAGUCGAGCGGAUGACAGGAGCUUGCUCCUGAAUUCAGCGGCGGACGGGUGAGUAAUGCCUAGGAAUCUGCCUGGUAGUGGGGGACAACGUUUCGAAAGGAACGCUAAUACCGCAUACGUCCUACGGGAGAAAGCAGGGGACCUUCGGGCCUUGCGCUAUCAGAUGAGCCUAGGUCGGAUUAGCUAGUUGGUGAGGUAAUGGCUCACCAAGGCGACGAUCCGUAACUGGUCUGAGAGGAUGAUCAGUCACACUGGAACUGAGACACGGUCCAGACUCCUACGGGAGGCAGCAGUGGGGAAUAUUGGACAAUGGGCGAAAGCCUGAUCCAGCCAUGCCGCGUGUGUGAAGAAGGUCUUCGGAUUGUAAAGCACUUUAAGUUGGGAGGAAGGGUUGUAGAUUAAUACUCUGCAAUUUUGACGUUACCGACAGAAUAAGCACCGGCUAACUCUGUGCCAGCAGCCGCGGUAAUACAG
This 495-nucleotide ribosomal RNA is filed under the name uncultured Gammaproteobacteria bacterium. RNAcentral's name for it is "bacterial SSU rRNA". It matches the Rfam family "Bacterial small subunit ribosomal RNA", at positions 38 to 528 of the family's 1533-position model. The record is from RNAcentral. Lineage: Bacteria; Pseudomonadati; Pseudomonadota; Gammaproteobacteria.